Long non-coding RNA from Carcharodon carcharias (great white shark), 1939 nucleotides. RefSeq lists it as uncharacterized. The transcript is spliced from 3 exons. The record is from RefSeq and is a predicted model, not a curated record. Lineage: Eukaryota; Metazoa; Chordata; Chondrichthyes; Lamniformes; Lamnidae.
UGGCGCUGGGGGAGGUGCGCGAUCUCCGCUCUCCCGACGCCGCCGUCCCGGGACCGCGUGUCCUUUCAUGGCCGCGACGCCAAAUUUUACACGCGCAACAAAACAAAAAAAAUCGUGUUAUUGAAAUAGAAAUUCUGAAACGGUGGCCGGGCGGAAAAGCUAGGAAAGAGGAUGUCUCACCUGGUACCGCUCCCUGUACCCUGCCCCGUACAACUUGGUACAGUGAAAGCUGAUACAUCAGAGUCGCAGUUGCAUCAAUUUGUUAGAGAGGGCAACCACACCAAAGUGAAAAAAGUCCUAAAGAAAGGAAUACACAAGGAAGGGGGUUUAAAAAAGCCAACUGCAAUCCUAAUUCUGUGUGCUGGCCUUGUGUUCUGUUCUGAUGUGUGUGUGCUGUGAAGGUCACAGCUGAAGAACACCGACUUGGCAUCCCUGCUCUUGCAGGUAAAAAAACUUUCUCUUGAUUGCUGGAAGCAAGCCGCCAGAUAGCAAAGCCACAGUCAAAAAGGAAACAGGAGAACUCCUUUCAGCUAACCUGCAGAACCAAGAACCUCCAAACCAACUGCUCAACUGCCAAAGUCAGCACUACCGGAAUCACCCCAACUUAAUGGCUGCAACAUUUCACCGUUUGUUCCCCACAGACAAGCCAAAGGACUGAUUCAUACAUCUUUUGAAUUUUUAUUUUGGACUCAAUUCCUCAUUUCUAAUCUGUGUGUAUGUGUGUUGUGAUUUUAUUAUUUUCUGUCACGUUUAGUAACUAAUAGCUCACUCUUUCUUUGACUCAGGACAGCCUGGUUAAAUUGGCACCUUUUAAAACAUAAAUACGUUUGGACCGGGAAAAGGUAUCCGUGAGGGAAGGGAUCCUUUUCAAAUUAACCUUGUUGUGACCAACCGAGGGGGUUGAAUAAAGAAAGGGAGGCAGUUCAUCCCUCCUCACCCGGGAGCAUAACAAUUUUGGGUACCUCGUCUGGGAUCAUAACAAAUUGGGGGAUUCUCAUCUGCGGACCGGUCAUAACACAACAUUUUAAACAAUAUAACUUCCCCAAUAGUUUUAUUGGUAAAGUCAGUGUAACUAAACUAUACAGACCCAGAAAAUUGUUGAUUUAAUCCUGGUUGAUUCUGAAUUAACUCGGCGCAAUAGGGAUAAUGCAAUUUUUUGCGGAAAAUUAGCCAGGAUCCUUGCUGUUGAUUCUUAUCUUGCUGGGAAGCAACAACUUGUAUAUAUACAGUUCCUUUAAGCUGUUUCUGUUGGCAUUAUGGACGAACAUCCAUAUUCCACCAACAUUUUUUAAUGAAAAUGGUUAACAAUGUAAUAUUGACCAAGCGAUACAUUUUUGGGAUGUUGAAUGAAGGCUAGAUAUUGGCCAGGCACCUCCCCUCCACUUCUUCGAAAUUGUGCCAUGGACCUUUUACCUCCACUUGAGCAGGCAGCUGGAACUCAGUUUAAUGUCUCAUCAAAAGACAGCACUUCCAACAUUGCAGUGCUUCCUCAAGUACUGUACUGGAUUGGCAGCCUUGAUUUUAUGUGCUCAAUCCCUGGAGUGGGACUUUAACCCAGAACCUUGUGGUUCAUAUGAACGUACAAACAAGGAGCAGUUAAAGGCCAUUCAGCCCCUCGAGCCUGCUCCGCCAUUUAAUGAGAUCAUGGCUGAUCUGAUAGUAGCCUUAAAUCUGCAUCCUACCUACCUCUGAUAGCCUAUCACCCCCUUGCAUACAAAGAAUCUUUCUACCUCUGCCUUAAAAAUAUUCAAAGACUCUGCUUCCACCACCUUUUCAGGCAGAGAGUUCCAAAGACUUAAGACCCCCUGAGUGAAAAGAUUUCGCCUCAUCUUUGUUUUAAAUGGGUGACCCCUUAUUUUUAAACAGUGACUCCUAGUUCUAUAUUCUCCCACAAGAGGAGACAUCCUCUUCACAUCCAUCCUGUCAAGACCUCUCAAGA